Molecule: ribosomal RNA, 489 nt
Filed under: Stylactaria inermis
Lineage: Eukaryota; Metazoa; Cnidaria; Hydrozoa; Anthoathecata; Hydractiniidae
Description: partial 16S ribosomal RNA
Rfam family: Bacterial large subunit ribosomal RNA
Source: RNAcentral
AUGAAAAAAUCAAAGGUGUAACCCGCCCAAUGAUUUUWAAUUAUAUAAAAAUAACCUAUUAUAAUAAAAUUUAAAGGGCGCAGUAACCUGGGCUGUGGUAAUGUAGCAUAAUCAUUCGCCAUUUGAUUGAUGGAUAGUAUGAAUGGUUGAACGAAUUCUUCACUGUCUUAAAAAGAGAAAUCAUGAAAUUGAAAUAAUAGUUAAGAUGCUAUUUACUAUUGUAAGACGAAAAGACCCUAUAGAGCUUAACUAUAAACUUUUUAAAAUUAAAAAAAUUUUAAUAAUUUCUAAAUAAAAAGUUAGGUAGUUUAGUUGGGGCGACUAUCUUCUAAAAUUAACGAASACAAGCAAUAUUAAUAAUUAAUUUAUUGUAUAAUUAAUAAAUUUAACAAUUMCAAAAGUAGGCUAUAAUGNCCCGUUAUAAUUUGAUAAUAAAAAUAACGAUUAAUAAAUAAAAGCUACCUUAGGGAUAACNGGAUAAUUUUGUUC